UGCCUGGCUCCCUGUAUGCCG
This 21-nucleotide microRNA is filed under the name Citrus sinensis (sweet orange). RNAcentral's name for it is "csi-miR160b-5p". Its record names the gene csi-miR160b-5p. Lineage: Eukaryota; Viridiplantae; Streptophyta; Magnoliopsida; Sapindales; Rutaceae. The record is from miRBase by way of RNAcentral. RNAcentral also lists the same sequence under 4 other names.